AUGUCGCCACUUCACACCAAGGCCAUGCCUCCGUUCUCCUCCACCACGCCAAUGUCGCCACUCCGCCUCCGCCUCCGCGCCCGCCACUCCUCCUCCACCUCGCAUCCCUCACGCAGCUGGGAUCCCCACGCCGCCUUCGCCGCCGCCACGGAGCGUGCGCGCUCCGGCAACCUCACCCCGGAGGACGCACAUAACCUGUUCGACGAAUUGCUGCGGCAGGGCAAUCCUGUCCUGGAGCGCCCCCUCAACAACCUUCUCGCCGCCCUCGCCCGCGCUCCGGCGUCCGCGGCGUGCAGUGAUGGCCCUGCACUCGCAGUCAACCUCUUCAGCCGCAUAUCCCAAGGCGCCCGCCGACGUGUGGCGCACCCAACGGCCUACACCUACGGCAUCCUCAUGGACUGUUGCUGCCGCGCACACCGCCUCGAUCUGGCGUUUGCUUUCUUCGGCCGUCUCCUCAGGACGGGACUUAAGGCAGGCGUCAUUCAAGUUUGCACUCUUCUCAAGGGCCUCUGCCGCGCAAAGCGGGCAGAUGAGGCUCUCGACGUGCUGCUUCACAGGAUGCCUGAGCUGGGCUGCACUCCCUAUGUGGUGGCGUAUAACACCGUCAUCCAUGGCUUCUUUAGGGAAGGCCAAGUAGGCAAGGCGUGCAAUCUAUUCCAUGAAAUGAGGCAGCAGGGCGUUACACCUGAUGUUGUGACAUAUAACUCGGUUAUUGAUGCGUUGUGCAAGGCCAAAGCAAUGGACAAGGCAGAGUAUUUCCUUGGUCAGAUGGUUGAUGAUGGUGUCGUACCUGAUAAUGUGACAUAUAAUAGCCUCAUCCAUGGAUAUUCCUCUUCAGGCCACUGGAAGGAGGCUGUUAGGGUAUUCAAAGAGAUGACAAGUCGGAGGGUUACACCAGAUGUGCAUACUUACAACAUGUUUAUGACCUUUCUUUGCAAACAUGGAAGAAGCAAGGAAGCUGCAGGAAUUUUUGAUACCAUGGCUAUGAAGGGCCUGAAACCUGACAACGUUUCAUAUGCUAUUCUCCUUCAUGGGUAUGCCACCGAAGGAUGCUUAGUUGAUAUGAUUAAUCUCUUCAAUGCAAUGGAAAGAGACUGCAUUCUACCUGACUGUCAUAUCUUCAGCAUACUGAUUAAUGCAUAUGCUAAAUCUGGGAAGCUUGAUAAGGCUAUGCUUAUCUUCAAUGAAAUGCAGAAACAAGGACUGAGUCCAGAUGCAUUCACAUAUUCAACCGUAAUACAUGCAUUUUGCAAAAAGGGUAGGUUGGAUGAUGCUGUGAUAAAGUUUAAUCAGAUGAUUGAUACAGGAGUACGACCGGACACGGCUGUUUAUAGUUCCCUAAUCCAGGGAUUUUGUAUACAUGGCGAUUUGGUGAAAGCAAAGGAAUAUGUUACUGAAAUGAUGAAGAAAGGUAUGCUUCCUCCUGAUAUUAAGUUCUUCCAUUCAAUCAUGCAGAACCUAUGCACAGAAGGAAGGGUAAUAGAAGCACAAGAUAUCCUUGACCUGAUGGUACACACAGGUGAGAGGCCUAAUGUUGUCACAUUUAGUGUACUUGUCGGUGGAUACUGCCUAGUCCGCAAGAUGGCAGAUGCAUCGAAAGUAUUUGAUGAUAUGGUGUCAUAUGGUUUAGAACCGUGUAACAUUAUGUAUGGUAUACUUAUUAAUGGCUAUUGCAAAAAUAGAAGGAUUGAUGACGGGCUUAUUCGGUUCAAAGAGAUGCUGCACAAGGGACUUAAACCUACAACUUUUAAUUAUAACGUCAUACUGAAUGGAUUAUUUCUGGCUGGACGAACUGUUGCUGCAAAAGAGAAGUUUGAUGAGAUGGUUGAAUCUGGAGUAAGUGUGUGCAUUGAUACAUACUCUAUAGUUCUUGGUGGACUUUGUAGAAAUGGCUGCAGUAGCGAAGCGAUCACCCUGUUCCGAAAAUUAAGCGCAAUGAAUGUGAAAUUUGAUAUUACAAUUGUCAAUACCAUUAUUGGUGCCUUCUACAGGGUCGAGAGAAACCAAGAGGCUAAGGAUUUGUUUGCUGCUAUUCCAGCCAAUGGCUUGGUUCCUAAUUCUGUUACCUACACCAUAAUGAUGACAAAUCUUAUAAAAGAAGGUUCAGUGGAAGAAGCUGACAAUCUUUUUUUAUCGAUGGAGAAUAGCGGCUGUAGUGCCAACUCUUAUCUGUUAAAUCAUGUCAUCAGAAGGUUACUGCAAAAAGGAGAGAUAGUCAAGGCUGGAAAUUAUAUGUCUAAAGUUGAUGUAAAGAGCUACUCACUUGAAGCUAAAACUGUUUCACUGCUGAUCUCUCUGUUUUCAAGGGAAGGGAAAUAUAGAGACCACAUCAAAUUGCUCCCUACAAAGUAUCAGUUUCUGGAAGAACCAGCCACAGUUGAA
This 2382-nucleotide ribosomal RNA is filed under the name Triticum aestivum (bread wheat). Its description in RNAcentral is "partial small subunit ribosomal RNA". The record is from RNAcentral. Lineage: Eukaryota; Viridiplantae; Streptophyta; Magnoliopsida; Poales; Poaceae.